Molecule: unclassified non-coding RNA, 574 nt
Filed under: Hevea brasiliensis (rubber tree)
Lineage: Eukaryota; Viridiplantae; Streptophyta; Magnoliopsida; Malpighiales; Euphorbiaceae
Source: RNAcentral
AAAAAAAAAAAAAUAAAUAAAUAAUAAAAAAAAAGAAGAGAACUUUUAGCACUCAAAGCAAAGAUUAAGCAUGCUGAGAUAUGUGUGAUUUUCUUUACAGAAUCAAUUGGCAGCCAAAAACUAGACAAAGGGUGAAACUUUCAAAUGCAUCAUUGAACUAAGGCAAUAACAUGAUGGUACAACAAGCUUCUACUUAUUCAUGAAUUUAUCUCAAUCCUAUGCUUUCAUGGAAUGUGAUAUUACUUUCUCAUUUUGUUCACGUGUGUUAAAAUUUACAUGUGUGCAAGAUAUUUGGCUUUCAUGCUUCCUGAUACCAAAGGUUCUUAACUAUGAUUAAAAAUUGUAACACAUUAAUUAAACAAGUUGGAUCAGAAUCAGAAAUUUUUGAGUUACGUAUUUAUACCACAACAACACCAAUUAGCAGACUUGGAACUGAUGAUGUUCCUCAGCAAAAUAGACUCCAAAGAUUCCAAGGAUCUCAAUUAUUCCAACAAACGCGUGUGCAUAAAUUCACAACUUUGUGGAACUUAGGAAAGGGAAAAUAAGUAAAUUCUUUCUCUUUCUUUCUUUCUUU